UAUUAUAUGUGUUUUGAGGGGGCGCAGACGACGCGGCGGCGGGCUAAUACAUGCAAGUCGAGCGGAAAAGAUGGUAUCUGACUCUCUGAGGUCAGUGACGGACGGGUGAGUAACACGUGGGUAACAUGCCUGUAAGACUGGAUAAAUCUGGGAAUCAGCGGCUAAUACCGGGUGUAGAUUGAACCGCGCGUUUAAUUAUAAAAGGUGGCUUUUAGCUAUCACUUACAGAGGGACGCGCGGCGCAGAGAUAUUGGUGAGAGAUAGGCUCACCAACAGCAACGAUGUCUAGCCGACGUGAGAGGGGGAUCUCCCCCACUGGGAAUGAGACACGGCCCAGACUCUCACGGGGGGCAGCGGUGGGGAAUCUUCCGCACUGGAGGAGCGUCUGAGGGAGCAACGCCGCGUGAGUGAUGAAGAUUUUCGGAUGGUAAAAAUCAGUUUCUAGGGAAGAACAAGUACCGUUGGAAUAGGGCGGUACCUUGACGGUACCUAACCAGAAAGCCACGGCUAAAUUCGUGCCAGCAGCCGCGGUAAUAAGUAGGUGGCAAGCGUUGUCUGGAAUUAUUGGGCGUAAAGCGCGCGCAGGCGGUUUCUUAAGUUUGAUGUGAAAGCCCCCGGCUCAACCGGGGAGGGUCAUUGGAAAAUGGGGAACUUGAGUGCAGAAGAGGAGAGUGGAAUUCCACGUGUAGCGGUGAAAUGCGUAGAGAUGUGGAGGAACACCAGUGGCGAAGGGCGGCCCCUGGUCUGUAACUGACGCUGAGGCGCGAAAGCGUGGGGAGCGAACAGGAUUAGAUACCCUGGUAGUCCACGCCGUAAACGAUGAGUGCUAAGUGUUAGAGGGUUUCCGCCCUUUAGUUUUGCAGCAAACGCAUUAAGCACUCCGCCUGGGGAGUACGGUCGCAAGAUUGAAACUCAAAGGAAUUGACGGGGGCCCGCACAAGCGGUGGAGCAUGUGGUUUAAUUCGAAGCAACGCGAAGAACCUUACCAGGUCUUGACAUCCUGUGACAACCCCAGAGAUAGGGCUUCCCCUUCGGGGACUGAGUGACAGGUGGUGCAUGGUGUCGUCAGCUCGGUCUGAGUGU
This 1083-nucleotide ribosomal RNA is filed under the name Bacillus sp. (in: firmicutes). RNAcentral's name for it is "bacterial SSU rRNA". It matches the Rfam family "Bacterial small subunit ribosomal RNA", at positions 1 to 1075 of the family's 1533-position model. Lineage: Bacteria; Bacillati; Bacillota; Bacilli; Caryophanales; Bacillaceae. The record is from RNAcentral.